GCUAACAUCAAUGGGAGCUUCAACUAAAACCGAUGUAUACGCAUUUGGUGCAUUGAUCCUUGAAGUAACUUGUGGGAGAAGACCUGUAGAACCUAAUCUGCCGAUUGAGAAACAGCUUCUGGUGAAAUGGGUUUGUGAUUGCUGGAAAAGGAAAGAUUUAAUCAGUGCUCGAGAUCCCAAACUGAGUGGAGAAUUGAUACCUCAAAUCGAGAUGGUAUUGAAAUUAGGGUUGCUUUGCACGAAUCUUGUGCCGGAAUCGAGACCUGACAUGGUAAAAGUUGUGCAGUACCUUGACAGACAGGUUUCGUUGCCGGAUUUCUCACCAGAUUCACCGGGAAUUGGGAUUGUUACUCCGGUUUUGGUCGGAGGAAGCUCCACCGUGAU
Molecule: long non-coding RNA, 384 nt
Filed under: Arabidopsis thaliana (thale cress)
Lineage: Eukaryota; Viridiplantae; Streptophyta; Magnoliopsida; Brassicales; Brassicaceae
Description: long non-coding RNA (ATHA_LNC000504)
Source: RNAcentral